This 3267-nucleotide long non-coding RNA is filed under the name Homo sapiens (human). Its description in RNAcentral is "non-protein coding UCA1:7". The stretch from base 231 to 305 matches the Rfam family "Urothelial cancer associated 1 conserved region". The record is from RNAcentral. Lineage: Eukaryota; Metazoa; Chordata; Mammalia; Primates; Hominidae.
AGAUUCCCAGCCAUAUGAAGACACCCUAGCUGGACGAUCAGUCCUUGUCAAAAGUCUGACCCCUCAAACUCUACAGCCUCAAUGGACCAGACCCUACCCGGUCAUUUAUAGCACACCAACUGCCGUCCAUCUGCAGGACCCUCUCCAUUGGGUUCACCAUUCCAGAAUAAAGCCAUGCCCAUCAGACAGCCAGCUUGAUCUCUCCUCUUCCUCCUGGAAGCCACAAGAUUAGGCCGAGAGCCGAUCAGACAAACAACCUACAACCCUUAAGCUCCUGGCAGCGCCCAGCCAAGGCCAUGCUUCCUUGCAACACUCCUUCCAAAUGGCCAUCCCAGCAUGCUUCCAAGCAGGCUUCAUCCGUUCCUCUGGACCCUCAUCUCUUAAGACCUGCCGCCUAUAAAAAGGAUUAUAUCUUGAGACCCUAUCCUCUAAAAUUUUUUCCACACCCAAAACAAAAAAUCUCUGGGUCAAAAGUCUAAAACGCUUAGGCUGGCAACCAUCAGAUCCUUGCCCAUGGUGUCCUCAAGCCUACUCUCAUGAAAUGGACAACAGUACACGCAUAUGGGGCCAGUUCCACAUAUUUGGCAACCAGACCAGCAUCCAGGACAACACAAAGUAUGUUGUUUGUUGUUAGAGGGCUUGGGACAUUUCACUCUUUGCCAGCCUCAGCUUAAUCCAGGAGACAAAGAUUAUUUUCCUUAUUAUCUCUUCUGCAUAGGAUCUGCAAUCAGAACUAUUGAACUUCUCCAUUCAGACCGCCACUCACACCUAUGGGAAAAGGGUAAUGUAUCAUCGGCUUAGCAACAGGGAAUACUAUUCGUAUGAUGGAAAAUGGGGACAAAAGGCUUUGGUACAUAAAACAUUAUUCCUUCCUUGGCCUAAAAACUCAUCGCCACCUACAUUAAAGCUAAUAUGCCUGAUUACUGUUUUUAGAGAACUUAUUUUAUUAGGGCAGUUCCAAGCUCAAAAAUACGCUAACUGGCACCUUGUUAGCUACAUAAAAAUGCACCCUAGACCCGAAACUUACUAGACUCAUUAUAAAAUUUUCUUUAAGGUGUCCACGCAGUCCCUGGUCACACUUGAAGCAGUCCGGAGAAAUAUCAGCCCUACCCCAGUAAUCCCCAGAAGGAACUUACACUUUUUUUUAAUCUUUUCCUACAACUUCAUAUUUUAUAAAUAAAAAGACAAAAAUGUCAGGCCUGUGAGCUGAAGCUUAGCCAUUGUAACCCCUGUGACCUGCACAUAUCCGUCCAGGUGGCCUGCAGGAGCCAAGAAGUCUGGAGCAGCCGAAAAACCACAAAGAAGUGAAACAGCCAGUUCCUGCCUUAACUAAUUAACCCACCUUACGACAUUCCACCAUUAUGACUUGUCCACCAUUAUGACUUGUUCCUGCCCUGCCCCAACUGAUCAAUCAACCCUGUGACAUUCUUCUCCUGGACAAUGAGUCCCAUCAUCUCUCCACCAUGCACCUUGUGACCCCCUCCUCUGCUGAGGAUAACCACCUUUAACUGUAACUUUCCACGCCUACCCAAGCCCUAUAAAGCUGCCCCUCUCCUAUCUCCCUUCACUGACUCUCUUUUCGGACUCAGCCCACUUGCACCCAAGUGAAUUAACAGCCUUGUUGCUCACACAAAGCCUGAUUGGGUGUCUUCUAUACGGACACGCGUGACAGGAACCUCAACCCAAAGGCAGUCUGAUGAGGUGUCUAAGAUAAAAGUAGCGGCACAAAGGCUUUUGUAAACAGAGGCGUUUCAUGUGGUUUUCCUUUCCUUUCCUUAUAUGUGAAAAGGUGACAGAAAAGAAAUCUUCCUAAAAGAGUCAGCCACUGCUCUGUGGAACGAUGAUCAUUUAAAUGCCACGUCGAUUUGAAACGUACAACAAAGGGACUAACAGUUGAGAACCAUGUGGAUUGCAGUGGAGACGCUGGCGUUAGAGAAUGCGGGGAGGGAAACGUUCAUUACAAGAUUUACGGCCAGCCCAAGGGGGAGCGAGGCUGGGGGACCGGGUCGCGGAGACCCGGCUUCGCACACCUUUUGGAAGACUCAGGGAGAAGCGGGGGCCGCCUUCGGGGGGAAAGGCGGGACUGGGGAGCCCACAGGCCAUGGCUCCUCCCACAGGAUCCCCAGGCCGGAGGCGGGAUCCCCCCAUGAUCCUCCCGUGGCCCCCGCACAAUCUGGGGAGAUGCGGAGCUGCCCAGAGAGGGCUCUGGGGCGACAGUCACUGCGCAGGGACAGGACAGGACUCCCGGAGUCCCAGCUGCCGGCCCAGCCCCACCCUGCGGCCGAGAGGACCGAGGGCCGAGCUGCUCCAGGGGAACUCGGGUCCCAGACCCCGGAGUCGCAGCGGACAGGCCCGGGUCCCGCCACAGCCAGAUCCGGCUGGUUCCACCAGCUCCUCCUCCGGUCUCGGGACGUCCGGCCCCGCACACUCAGCAUUUCCGGCUUCCGGGUGUCCCGGCGUCCUCCCCUGGGCCUGCUCACGUCGCAGAGGGGCGGCGACGGGGAUUAGAGGGGAGGAGGGCCUGCGCGAGCAGCAAAGACCCCAAACCCCAAAAAACAAAGAAACCGCCAGAAACUGAAGCUUCCACAGCCCGCCACGUCCCCCGGCUACGGCUACGCUCCUGAUUGGAUAGUUAGUACGGCCCCUAGUGCCCCUGAUUGGAUACCGCUUCAGGUCCCGCCCCCUGGGGUUAGAAAGACAGGAGACCCGAGAAGACACUUGGCUGCGUGGAGCCCAAAUGGGCGGUUCCUGGCAACUGGGCUUGUUGUCUUCCUCGUGUCAGGAUGUAAAAAGAAAAGUAGAGGUUCUUCUUCAAAGACUUCCUUCUUCAUCUAAUUAAGAAUAAAUAGUGUUUGAAAUGCUUGGUUUUUGGUGCCAUAAAGAAAUAGCACUUUAACAUUAAUUUAUUUAGCAAGGCCAUUUUUACUCCCUGCAGAAAGGGUACACUCGCCAGCAGUUUUGCCACGAGCGUACACCGAGCAAAGGAGACAGGGUCAUUUAUAACCUGAGGUGUCCACCCUACUGCUGUGUCCAGUUUCCAUUGGCUGGAACGGGACCUCACAUUCUGUGUUUGUCCUGAUUGGCUAGCAACUUAGAACGUUUUAAAAGAGGCAAAGGUGGAGGAGAACAAAGGAAGAAGGAAGUAACUUGUGGAAUGCUGAGAAAGGUAAAAACACCUUCAAAUAAGGAAGAGGAAGAGGCUAUGACUUAAUGCUUGCUUGGACCAGUAUAAGCAUACCAGGGCAAAUAUUUGGGCUAAAUUGUGGG